RNAcentral lists this long non-coding RNA (1150 nucleotides) under Homo sapiens (human). RNAcentral's name for it is "HSALNT0191117". The record is from RNAcentral. Lineage: Eukaryota; Metazoa; Chordata; Mammalia; Primates; Hominidae.
AUCUGCUACCCUUGAGACCUCACUUCACCUCUUCUAAGAUUAUUUUUAAAAUGAACAGAUUGAUUUUUCACAAAAUGCCCCCAUAGAUAAUGGUUUCCUUAAACAAAUAGAAUGUUUAGAAAUCCUGUGCUGUUUUGGCAUCCCUGGUUACCUAUGUUUAAAGGAGAAUUUAGUAGAAGGAAGGGAGUACAAUUCCAGGGCAGCAAGAGUGAGUAAAAAGGAAGUCAGUCAGGGAUGGAGAAAAAGCAAGUGCAAAGUGGGGCAUCAGGAAGCGGGCUACAGCUUCAUGAGAUCACACAGUGGGUUGCUUGGUUGGGCUGUAUGUAAUUAUGGUGCACAGAGUGGUCCACCAAGGAGUGAGGGGGAUGACUUAACGUGUGGGCUCCUUUGCACCUCCUGUCUCUCUUUGGUCCAAGUAGACCUCAAAGAGUGAUAACUCUCUAGCACUCUCAGGCAAAGACCCCUCCAGGCAGCCAAUGGGGAAGCCACAUCCUGAGGCACAGUGCUAUCUCUGCAUCUGGAAGUCGGGGGAGGUGCCAAAGACUCCACAGUCUGGUUGGACUGACUUGAGAAGCAGUUCUGCUACAGCUCUCACUGUGUGGGCGCAAUGGAGGCCAUGCCUGAGGUAGUCACUCCAUAGGAGAAGGUGUGCACCACCAGAGCUGUCCAUUCUGCAAGCAGCUCAGAAGCCAGUCAGGCAAAUCUGGGGAAGCUCAUGAAAAAGCUCACGAUUGUCCUUAUUGUUAUUCAGGCCCCUUUCUCAAAAUUCCAUUUAAAACACACUUUCUGAGGACCUAUUAUUAAUAUUUGCCAGUCUUUCUGCCAUAAGCACUAAGAUAAAGAAAACAGAGUCUCUGGCCUCCGAAUGAACUACAAUUUAUUGUAAUAAAUACUAAGACCCGGCUGGGCGCGCUGGCUCAUGCCUGUAACCCCAGCACUUUGGGAGGCCGAGGCGGACAGAUCACCUGAGGUUGGGAGUUUGAGACCAGCCUGACCAAUACGGAGAAACCCCCGUCUCUACUACAAAUACAAAAAAAGUAGCCGGGCAUGGUGACCCAUGCCUGUAAUCCCAACUACUCAGGAGGCUGAGGCAGGAGAAUUGCUUGAACCCAGGAGGCGGAGGUUGUGGUGAGCCGAGAUCGAGCCAUUG